GGUUUAGUCACUAGAAUCGCUGUGCGCAGGUGCUGCUUUCAAGAGUACUGGAAAAUGGUGGCGUAGGUGACACCGACAGCUUCUCUGUUUACAAAACAGGCUCACCAGUGACCUAACUGAAUUCUCAGAAGGAGCUGGCGGUCCCCAUGUGUAGGUGUUGUUCACAUGGCCAUGGAGAGAUGGGCACUUGACACUGGAGUCCCUGCUGGUGCUGAAGAGGACUGAAAAAUGAUGGAUUUUCUACCGACCUGGGAAAAUGGAGCCUACAAGAUUGACUGACUGGUUAUUAAAGGUGCAGGCCUUGAUCCAUUGAUCUGAAAGAAGGUGUGGAACUUUCUGGAGAAAGAAAAAACAUGGUCAGAAGAGAGACUAGCAGAUCAUAGCUACACAUUUACUGCCUGGGGACCAAAAUAAUCUUGCUGUGGCCAGUCAACAAUGUCAAAACGUUAUGACACAAAAAGCUCAAUAGAACUGUCUUUAUCUCUGUGU
Long non-coding RNA from Apodemus sylvaticus (European woodmouse), 489 nucleotides. RefSeq lists it as uncharacterized. The transcript is spliced from 2 exons. The record is from RefSeq and is a predicted model, not a curated record. Lineage: Eukaryota; Metazoa; Chordata; Mammalia; Rodentia; Muridae.